RNAcentral lists this long non-coding RNA (353 nucleotides) under Homo sapiens (human). RNAcentral describes it as "HSALNT0034238". Lineage: Eukaryota; Metazoa; Chordata; Mammalia; Primates; Hominidae. The record is from RNAcentral.
CCUGCAGGUGGCAGCACGAGUGCCGAUCGCUGUCAGGCGAGGGCGCUCAGGGGUGGGAGCCGAAGAGAGUAAUUUAGGGAUAGAGGUGAGAACGGAGUUAGACACAAAAGUAAGAUCACAUGAACUCCGACUUCGGAUGGAACACAUCAUCCAUUUAAACCCUCGAGCCGAGCUCAACUGGAAACUCCACCUAAGCUGGAAGAGACUUGAGCUUGCAAGUGAAAUAAGCCAGAGAAUUUUGAAGAUAUAAAAAGGAGGAAUACAGAAAAGGAGUGAUGUUAACAUAGAGAAACUCCAAAGUCGCAUCUCAAUUCCGUGUGGCGGGCAAAAAAUAAAGGAGCAGAUUGUGACAG